This 3967-nucleotide long non-coding RNA is filed under the name Androctonus crassicauda. The record is from RNAcentral. Lineage: Eukaryota; Metazoa; Arthropoda; Arachnida; Scorpiones; Buthidae.
CCCUAACUGUAUUAUUAACAGGGAAUUAAUUGCCGUUUCUUGUACGGAAGAUGCGGGCUUUUGCCUAUCUGAUAUUCUAAGGAACGAUAACCUGGCAUUACUUUUCCAAUCGGCGACCGUUAGGACAGGAAAUUGGUUUUUCGUUUGCCAGAUGCGACAGCAAUGCGUGCGAUUCGGUCACGUGACGCACGCAAUGCAAUCGGGCGACGACACGCCUGAGGGUGUCGAGCAGUCAGGCCUACCUGCAGGGGCCUCUUUCUAGUUUCCUUUGUCUACUGUCUGAGUCACGGGACGACCCUCUGAAGAUGCCCUACUCAAGCCAGUAGUGAGUCAGCAGCGACGAAGCAGGGCAAUAUUUCAGCCAGAGGAGUAAGGCACCGAGACAAAGGCCUUCCUGCUACUUAUAGGACCAUAAACUGAUUGACUCAUGCACGGAGCAUGAGGGACACCUCCACCAGCUCCUUCUUUCCUCCUGACCCUCCUCCCAAUAUGUCACGAGGUUGGUAGGAUUUGCUGUCGCUUGUCGUCUGAUCCCAGAUGGUAGGGGAUGGGAAGAGGCAACUUGUUUGACUUACACUCGUGAAAAUAGGACUCCAAAAUGUUAAAAAACGUCUUCAUUUCGCCAUUUUUCUAUCGAAAAUCACUCUAUAUUAAUUUUUACUUUAAACUCUCGCAUUUACCAUCAUGCUCUCCUGAAUCGUUCGGAUAUUUUUUCUUCUAACUAAUAUGCACGGAAUCUUAAUUAACUGGAGUUGACAUUUAACCUGUAGAUAGUUUAAAGGCUUUUAAUAAGUUUCGGUAACUGAAAAUGGAAGUGGAUUUAUGUUAUUAACUGUUGCUCGACAGUAUGUAACAGGGCCACCACUACCCUCCUUGGUAAGAAUAGAUUUCCCUUAUUCACUGUUCUUUGGUGAAGGGAGGGAUUUGAGAGGGAUUGAUCAUCCCUCCAGAUGCCAAAGUCUGCUAGGGGAUCAGAAAAUCUAUUGUUUGCUGGCACGUGGCAGAAGAAACGGGACUUUCUAACGUUUGAUCGAACAAUAGACGGAAAUGUCGUUUUUCAGUUCUUGAUCGCGGUCUGUCUGCCAACUCAAGUUAACGAAAAGAACCAGAAAAGAACUCUAAACUCUGUCUUCGCUUCAAACCCGAAUGGUUAUCGUGCUUUAAAAAAAAAAACAGAAAAAGAAUAAAGUGAUGUUACAGAUAUGCAACUAAAACAAAAAGUGGUUUCAAUCGAUAAAUCACCUAAAAAUCGAAAACAUUCAGUAAAGAAUUCAAGGACGAAAGCGAAACGGCGACAACCAACAACCUGUUGAUUUUCAGACCUUGCACCAAGAAUACUUCAAGAGUAACAUAUAAUAAUAUAAUGGAACAACCUGUAACUCUACACCCGCGCAAUAUAUACAGUUCAAACAUCCAAAACUGUAACAACCAGACACAGCAGAUAGGUAAAGUGCUGAGACGACAAAUACAAUAUCCUAACUAACAGGUGGUUCAAUAUUGCAGUAACUUAAUUCUAGUCGUUAGACCGAGUUGUUUCUCGAUAAAAAGUAACAUGAAACAGGUAGAAAGAUCAAUUUUUGACAACUUCCGCGUGUCGUAAUUUACGGUUCAAGGCCACUUUCUAUUGGCUAAUAAUUCGACUCGACGCAUACGACGGUGAUGAUGAUGAUGCAACCGUUUACGAAUUAGCGGAAUCAAGAUUUCCGAAAGUCAAAACGAACGGAACGAAAACAAAAUAAAACGUAUUGCAACUUCGUAAAUUUGUCCCAAAACUUAAAAUUAAUCGAAGGUUUUCGCGGGUUUUUUUAAGUUUUUCUCCGACCGAUAUAUUACGAAUAUUUAAUACAUUUUCUUUCUAGAAAUUCAAUUCGGAUGCAGUCUGCCUGUUUCUCAAUAGUGUACAGGUGGCAGUUUAUCUUCCUGUCUUCCCCUCCGUCCAGAAGGUGAGCUUUCAGGGAAAGCGGAUUGCCAGUGCAGUAAAGCUACCCCACCAAGGGAAACAGUCCCUGGCCUACCAUAAUGGCCAUUUAAGUGCUUGGCUCCAGUCUCUGCUGUUUGCAAGACAUAGGACGGAGAAAAUCGAUGGCGUUGAUUCAAAUCUUUCCAAAUGGACAAUGUUAUAUCGUUUACUGUAUAUGUAAGCGCAAGAUGUAAGCUUCGCUUAUACAAAAGGACUACAGUGUUUCCAUCUCCGAAACGUCUUCGUUCUUUUAACCGAAAACUCUUCCGAAAAUAAUAAUAAGUAAAAGAAAAAAAUCCGAGGGAAAAAAAACGUUGUUCCCAGAAGAACAAUAACAUUUUAUUCACGUUCUUGCCGAAAGUUAACUUUGGUAAGGUUAGAAGAAUAAAGAAAGGUGAAGGAGAGAAACACACCCGCUUCUCGCUAACAGAUAUCGAAACAAUGCAAUAAAAAAAAAAAGAUAAACAAAAUCCGGACGCGAUAAUCGGAACAAAUUUUUGUAAGGAGAAACACGAAUUUAGAAACGAGUUAUUGUGUUCAAAACAAACCGGGCGUGUUUGCACGAGGUGGCGAUUGUUACCCGACCGCUGACACCUUGUUAUAAGAUAGAAAAAUCGGGUUGAGAACACUCACCUGUCACACCUGGUUGACGCACCGGGUGCUGGAUGCGUCCCUCCCUCUACCGAUAAAGAAACAACAAAGACGUUCACCCGCACCCGAUUACGGAGAACGUGCUUCCCUUUACGAGCUGACUCAUAAACCAGACCCGACCAAUCAAACUUCUCAAAUGGUUUCGUCGUAAAAUCGUCUAGAAUAAUUAUAAUAAUAUUCGUAUUCACAUAAGAAUUAUUAAUAAUGAACUUUAAAUUUACUUUAAUGAACACGAAAUAAAUAAUAUUUAUUUUUUUCGCGUUCGGUAGUUUCUCAAAGAUGGCGGCUGUUAGUGGAGGCAUUUCCGAUAUGAUGAUGAUUUGUUUUGUUAUUGAGAGCGUGAUGCGGUGUGUUGAUGAUGCGGAUCAUUCGAGUUUUCUCCGGUUUUUGAUGUUUAGAAGAAUGACAACAAGUUUUAAGUCGAAAUUAAUGAUGGACUGUAUGAGAGUUAUCUGUUUGGAAAGAUUAUAAAAUAAGAUAUGUCGGAACGGUCGCAUCUACGUAUCCUAUAGAAACCUUGAGAAAUAACACGACAGCUGUUGACCACCUGCAACCAGGAAGAAGUAUAAGGCAAUCGGAAGACGACCAUUCAAGCGGAAGUACCGUACUUCCUUGUAAGAUUUCCGUUACACAUUAAAAAAUUGUAUAUCUUUAUCAUUUUAAUACACUUUAUCUUUAAAAAAAAGUUUCCGAGGAAAUUUAUAGGUCGAUUCGGCGCCGACAGAUGGCGACACCAUCAAAUCUGUCGGUGGAAAUUGCUAUAAUUGCCUAUCGCGUAAAUGGGAUAAAGAGAGGAUAAUCGGAGGAGGGGAAAAGCAUCGACCGCGUACGACACAAAGAACGUCCUGAGGAUGUCCAAAAUAAUACUUCCGCACGUUACCGGGUGGCGUCGUCUUGUUCCACAUCGUAACCGGGGCAACCGCGCCAAACGGGAAGUGACGCCAUCGUCACCUUACUUAGAGGGCGUGAAAAUAGUUCCGGUAAAGGGUCGAAUGAUUCUUAGCAGAGUCACACCGGACUUUCUUCCUGUUGAUACAGAUUCGUGAGAACCGACGUCUUGAUUUCCUUUUUUGGUAACAAAACUAGUUAUACCGGCGAAAACCGCAUUGACAGAACAAGAAACUACCAUUACAGGUGUUUUUAUUCUUCAAACGCAUCUGCCCAUCGCCUCCCCUCCUUUUUUUUGUUCUCUUCCCGAAUUCAUACAAAAGAGGCAAAAAAAAAAACAAAGUAUUAUUUGUCGAAAAAUUUUAAUAACAUGAACUGAAUUUACAAUGAAUGUUUUAACAGAGAAAAUAAAGCUUGUAUACUUUUUCCCUAUUAUGAAAUGGAUAAGGGAAAAUAAUGAUUUUGUGU